This is a non-coding RNA of Clostridium sp. CAG:221, 196 nucleotides long. The record is from Rfam. NCBI's taxonomy places the organism in Bacteria, Bacillati, Bacillota, Clostridia, Eubacteriales, Clostridiaceae.
AACUUAUCAAGAGCGGUGGAGGGACUGGCCCUGUGAAACCCAGCAACCUACUUAGAGAAUGUAGAGUUAUGAAUUAAGAAUUAUGAAUUGGAUUUAAAAACUCUUUGAGUUUUGUCUUUAAUUCAUCAUUCAUCAUCCAUAAUUCAUCAUUAACUAAGUGUGGUGCUAAUUCCAACAGUUUACUGAAAGAUAAGGA